This 264-nucleotide long non-coding RNA is filed under the name Brassica napus (rape). RNAcentral's name for it is "long non-coding RNA (BNAP_LNC023993)". The record is from RNAcentral. Lineage: Eukaryota; Viridiplantae; Streptophyta; Magnoliopsida; Brassicales; Brassicaceae.
UGGAGUACUGGAAGGAUUGAUGACCUAUUGAGAAGUGAUUCGCGAUAUCGUGUGAGUGAGGCCAAAACACAGGAAAAGAUCAUUUCGUGAUUGCAGGGUCAGUAAACAAGACUUUCGAGCCUCUAAAAAAUUAAUGCAGCUCCCGUCGCACGGGAUAAGGCCAAUGGGCCAAGUGAGCGGGUAUGGACAGUCGGAACGUUACAUAUUAAUCGCUAUGAAAUCUAGCAAAUCCUAUAUCAAAGCAUAUUGAGAUCCUGUAAACAC